Molecule: ribosomal RNA, 738 nt
Filed under: Triticum aestivum (bread wheat)
Lineage: Eukaryota; Viridiplantae; Streptophyta; Magnoliopsida; Poales; Poaceae
Description: partial small subunit ribosomal RNA
Source: RNAcentral
AUGUCACUCCAAGGCGGCAUUUCGGGAACAAGACGCGCUCGCUCGACAACAGCUGCUGCAAGUUGUUGCCGCUGCCUGCCUGCCUCUGCCGCCGCUCUUCUCUCUUCUCUCUGUUCUGUUUGCCACCGAUCCCAUUCCCUUGAUUUUCGUUCUGAAUUUUGUUUUCUUUCCUUGUUCUCUUCAUUCAGAUUAAAAAAAGAAGGAAAAAGAAAGAAGAAAAAGAGUUUGUCGUUGGGAGAUCAAGCAAGCAAGCAAAGGAAGAAGCAGAGUGUGCCGAGGAAGACGAAGAAGAGACAACUCCAAGUGGUGGUAGAAGGCGAGGACGCGGGGGAGGACGUUGUGGGAGCGGUAGGGUGGCGGCAUUGGCUUGGCGGAGGCGGCCACCAUGAGCGCCACCAUCUCCCGGACGCACCCGAUGAAGAAGCGGUAGGGCGGGCCCCUGAUCCCCUGCCGCGCGAAGUGCUCCUCCACGCGCCGCGGCCGCCACCACAGCACCUCCAUCAGCUUGGCCGCCACGUACGCCAGCGCCGCCGCCGCCGCCGCGAUCCACCACCAGCGCAUCAUCCGCACCAACAGCGCCGCUCAAUUCUAUGCUGGCAUGCAUCAACCAGUAACACCAUUAUGUUUGGAGCUGCUAGAGAGAUCACAUCAGAUGUGUUGGUUUGCAACAUUUGGUGCGUGCGUCCGUCCGCAUUGAAGGCACGUACAAGUAUGAAUGUGAAUGGAAUGCAUUCAUGA